RNAcentral lists this ribosomal RNA (441 nucleotides) under uncultured bacterium. RNAcentral's name for it is "partial 16S ribosomal RNA". It matches the Rfam family "Bacterial small subunit ribosomal RNA", at positions 338 to 795 of the family's 1533-position model. The record is from RNAcentral.
CCUACGGGAGGCAGCAGUGGGGAAUAUUGCACAAUGGGGGGAACCCUGAUGCAGCGACGCCGCGUGGGUGAAGGAGUAUUUCGGUAUGUAAAGCCCUAUCAGCAGGGAAGAACAAUGACGGUACUUGACUAAGAAGCACAGGCUAAAUACGUGCCAGCAGCCGCGGUAAUACGUAGGGUGCAAGCGUUAUCCGGAUUUACUGGGUGUAAAGGGAGCGCAGGCGGGGCGUUAAGCCUGGUGUGAAAGCCUGCGGCCCAACCGCGGGACUGCAUUUGGAACUGGCGCGCUGGAGUGCCGGAGGGGUAGGCGGAAUUCCUAGUGUAGCGGUGAAAUGCGUAGAUAUUAGGAGGAACACCAGUGGCGAAGGCGGCCUACUAGACGGUGACUGACGCUGAGGCUCGAAAGCGUGGGGAGCAAACAGGAUUAGAUACCCGGGUAGUC